UACGUAGGGGGCAAGCGUCGUCCGGAAUUAUUGGGCGUAAAGCGCGCGCAGGCGGUCAUUUAAGUCUUAUGUUUAAACCCAAGGCCCAACCUUGGGACGCAUGGGAAACUGGGUGGCUUGAGUGUAGGAGAGGAAAGUGGAAUUCCACGUGUAGCGGUGAAAUGCGUAGAGAUGUGGAGGAACACCAGUGGCGAAGGCGACUUUCUGGCCUAUAACUGACGCUGAGGCGCGAAAGCGUGGGGAGCAAACAGG
RNAcentral lists this ribosomal RNA (252 nucleotides) under uncultured bacterium. Its description in RNAcentral is "partial 16S ribosomal RNA". It matches the Rfam family "Bacterial small subunit ribosomal RNA", at positions 524 to 776 of the family's 1533-position model. The record is from RNAcentral.